UGGGGGCGGGGCCGGGCACCUGGAGUCCUGCCGACUGCCGGAGCCCGGGUACUGGGUACUGGGUGGGAAGUUGAGGAGUGGCCUGGAAGUCCGGGCUCGAGGUGAGGGAGGAAUGAAGGAGAUGAGAGACGCUAGGCAGCGAGGGAGGACCUCUCUGCCAGAAGUUAGGAGGCAAGGAAAGCCACCAUGAAGGGGGAAACAGGAAGGUCCUCAGUGGGGAGGCUGGCCAUUCAUCUAGAAAGAGGUUGAAUUUGAGGCCACAUCAUUUGGGGCUGGGGUGUAAAAAAUAUCAAAUAUGGUCUUUUCUAUCAGAUACUAUAAAACGUGUUUAGGACAAGGAAUUAAAAAAAUUUUUUAUCUCCCCCACCUUGGAAGGCUUUUAUACAAUGUUUUUACCCUCUCCACCCAGGAAAACUUUUACACAAAGGCCCAUGGCUCUGUUCUAGGAAUUUGAUGGCCUGAAGCAGCGACCUUUUUUCCAGUGGACCAGUGACCCCUUUCACCUUCCUCCUCCAUUUCCUCAGUGACAACCAAACCACAGGGUGGUCCAUCAGCGAUGUCAUCAGAGGCAAUCAGACAUCAGACGGCAUUAUCAGAAUCAAAAUGGAGUCACUCAUGUCAGCCCUACCGAAAAAGGACUGAGGAACUGCUGUAAAGAUGUGCAACGUUCAGUCAUGAGUGUGACCAAAGUUGACAAUACUCCAGGAAGAAUGGCGUGUUUGUCCCCCAGGGACGCUUCAUGCUGAAGACAGAUGGUGCUGCUGCCUUUUGAGAAGCCCUGGCUCCCCUGCUGAAGCUCGAGAGAACCACAGUAGGUUUGACCCAACUCAAAACUUCAUGAAGCCUUCUCGCCAAGGGUGCACACACCGGAAUUCCCAGGAAGAAACCGAAUUUCUUAAUACUGCUUUCCCAAAUGGAGCAGUACGUUGUAUAAUACAUAUGAAUUCUGACGGUUGCUACUUAUAUACUCUAGGUUUUCCAGAGGGCUAAGGAAUCGUUCAUUCAGACUAAACCCUGGGAAUUCUAAGUGAGCUUGCCCCAGCAGCUGUGGAAAUGGUGUUGACUGCAGAGGGUGUCACUCAGGAGAGUAGAAUUUGAGACCCAAUACCAGGUUCUGUCAUUGUGUCUGUCUGUUUAGUCCUUGUGGGAUUUUGAUGCAUGGAAUGAAAUUGGGUAGAACUUCCUGGACUACGCACAGUCCCUCCAAAACCAACAUUUUUCUUAGGUUAGUUUUAAGAAAAAUGUGAGGAGGACCUGAUUGGGAAAGUUGUAAACAUCUCUAAGCCAGGAAAAUCUGUGAGCACCUUGCUUGUUAAGCAGUGUCUGAAAUGUCACAUGGUGCUGUCUCCAGGAGACGGAGUCUUUAACCAUCAUGACUACCAGAGUGUUGUGUGCAGUGGUUGCAAUUUUAGUUUUCCGCAGUCUUGCUAAGAAGCAGCUACAACAACAGGGUUGAUUAGAAGAGAAAAAAGAAAGAAAAAGCACAAAAAAAGGGAAGACAAAAAGAUUUUAUUAUUGUCAUGAAGGAGUUAGCUGUCUGGCAUGGAAGCUCUCCUGUUUGGUAUUCUAUGCCACUGUCGCUCUGAAGUUAACGUGCUUGUAGAAAAUAAAAAAUGCUUUUCCUACAGGAAACUUUACAGUGCUUGUAAAAACAGUUCCAUUUGGUUCAUGCACAGUAGAUUUCUGCAAGUGCUACCCCAAAGUCUCCACUGACAGGGCCUUCAUCCUCUUUAAAUGCUGGCCUCGGCUGACCACCUGCAACUACUCUGUUAACUUGCCACCAGAAUUUUACAUCGUUACCUCCACUUUCUAGAUCACAGUCUCUACAAAUGUUACUUGGAACAAAAUUUUACUUCAUGCAGGUGUCUUCCCCAAUGACAAGGUUUUUCUUUGUCAAAUUAAGUCUUUAAAAAAAAAAAGUCUGCCUAAAAAACUCCCCAGCCCCCGAGUAGGGGCUUGAGUAGGCCUGUCGUGGCCUGCUCUACCACUUCCCUUUAGGCUGGGACAAAGGAAGUACUGUCACCAACAGAUAGCAGAAAAUUUGCUACUGUGGCAUCUCCCAAAUCAGGGACUCAUCUCCUCCACUAGCUAGCCUAGGGAGGACCCCAACACCAUGGAAAUACCACAGAAGACAGGAAGAUCACCCCAACAGCAAUGAUUAAACACGAGCCCAGGUGCUCCUCCUCCGACACACUGAAAAGCAUUUAUGGAAGAUGGGCUCAUGCUGAAUGCCAGAAAGAAGCACGCAGCUGAAGCGGGUGAAGCACGCAGCUGAAGCGGGUGAAGCACGCAGCUGAGGCGGAUGCCGUGGAACACAGUGCAGGGAGGCGGAACCUUUUAAGACACCCAUUGGCUACCUGAAAACUUGGAUACUACCAAGCCCGCCACACAGAGUCUGUUUCCUCCUUUCCAUACACACAUGAUCAACUCUCCCUUUUACUCGGCGUACUAUCCGGCUUCGGUCCGGCACAGCUGAAUUACCAGCGUCACCACUCUUGGACCGUGGGGCCGCUGUAAAGGAAAACAGGGUUAUUUAAAAUAAGCCCCGCUGUGCUGGAGUCCUGAGAUGACUAAACAGGUAGGAAGCGUGAGCCGGACAAAAGGAUUCAUGUCCUGAGUGAGAUCGGGCUGCCUAGAAUGGCUCAUGAUUCUGCAUUUCUUGCUCUCCGAGGCUGACCACGGAUAAGGGAGAGGCAAACAGAGAAGUGGUUAAACAGCUCAGUCAGCGCCACAGAAAGUUCUAGAACUACAGGGUUCAAAUGCAGGGAGCGAGCCUCCAGCACCCACAUUCUCUCACCCUGUUUCAGACUGUGUCUGUAAUGGCGCUCGCACACAGUGUCGCAGUCGCCUCUGUGUCCUCUCCAACUCAACUGCUCUUCUAAGGAGACCAUCCAGAAGACAAUGGAGAAAUAGGAAUGGUCCACUCUGAAAGCAAAGCCUUUUUGCAGUUGCGCAACUAAUAUCAUCCACCAGGUGGCAGUCACGGUCUCCAGAUAAAAUCGCCUCUGUUUAAAACCCCUCUCUUUGAAGCAACGACUCAAUUUUUAUUACCAAAAAAUAAGUGGUCUGAAUUAAAAAUGAAAACAAAAAAACCCACAACUCUCUG
This is a long non-coding RNA of Peromyscus californicus insignis, 3106 nucleotides long. RefSeq lists it as uncharacterized. The transcript has 5 exons. Lineage: Eukaryota; Metazoa; Chordata; Mammalia; Rodentia; Cricetidae. The record is from RefSeq and is a predicted model, not a curated record.